UCAAAACACCAGUUCUUGUUUGAUCACCGAAGUUAAGCAGUGUUAAUCUGGGUCAAUACCUAGAUGGGUGACCACUUUGGAAUACCAGGGGCUGUAAG
Acanthosepion pharaonis is the source of this 98-nucleotide non-coding RNA. The record is from the annotation of a GenBank genome assembly. NCBI's taxonomy places the organism in Eukaryota, Metazoa, Mollusca, Cephalopoda, Sepiida, Sepiidae.